Molecule: unclassified non-coding RNA, 314 nt
Filed under: plant metagenome
Description: partial contains 5.8S ribosomal RNA, internal transcribed spacer 2, and large subunit ribosomal RNA
Rfam family: 5.8S ribosomal RNA (bases 1-105)
Source: RNAcentral
GAAAUGCGAUAAUUAAUGUGAAUUGCAGAAUUCAGUGAAUCAUCGAGUCUUUGAACGCACAUUGCGCCCCCUGGUAUUCCGGGGGGCAUACCUGUCCGAGCGUCAUUGCUGCCCUCAAGCACGGCUUGUGUGUUGGGCUUCCGUCCCUGGCAACGGGGACGGUCCCAAAAGGCAGUGGCGGCACCAUGUCUGGUCCUCGAGCGUAUGGGGCUUUGUCACCCGCUCCCGUAGGUCCAGCUGGCAGCUAGCCUCGCAACCAAUCUUUUUAACCAGGUUGACCUCGGAUCAGGUAGGGAUACCCGCUGAACUUAAGC